This 99-nucleotide signal recognition particle RNA is filed under the name Candidatus Pelagibacteraceae bacterium. RNAcentral describes it as "signal recognition particle sRNA small type". It matches the Rfam family "Bacterial small signal recognition particle RNA". Rfam says of the family: The signal recognition particle (SRP) is a universally conserved ribonucleoprotein involved in the co-translational targeting of proteins to membranes. Archaeal SRP consists of a 7S RNA and homologues of the eukaryotic SRP19 and SRP54 proteins. The record is from RNAcentral. Lineage: Bacteria; Pseudomonadati; Pseudomonadota; Alphaproteobacteria; Candidatus Pelagibacterales; Candidatus Pelagibacteraceae.
UUUGGGAGAUUGAGUAGACAAGUUAUUCGCCAAUCCGGUCAGGUCUGAAAAGAAGCAGCCGCAACGAUGAUAUUUGGGUUACUUUAAUCUCCCACAGUA